UUAAGAGUAGGCUAAUUAAAAGCUUUGAGAUUCAUGAUCUUAAGAUGAAUAUUUUCCUCUUAAA
RNAcentral lists this transfer RNA (64 nucleotides) under Anatoecus icterodes. RNAcentral describes it as "tRNA-Met". Lineage: Eukaryota; Metazoa; Arthropoda; Insecta; Psocodea; Philopteridae. The record is from RNAcentral.